UUGGGCUGCACACGUGCUACAAUGGCCGGUACAAUGAGCUGCGAUACCGCGAGGUGGAGCGAAUCUCAAAAAAGCCGGUCUCAGUUCGGAUUGGGGUCUGCAACUCGACCCCAUGAAGUCGGAGUCGCUAGUAAUCGCAGAUCAGCAUUGCUGCGGUGAAUACGUUCCCGGGCCUUGUAUACACACCGCCCGUCACGUCACGAAAGUCGGUAACACCCGAAGCCGGUCGGCCCAACCCCGUUGUGGGGAGGAGCUGUCGAAGGUGGGACUGGCGAGUUGGUACGAAGUCGUAACGAAGGUA
Molecule: non-coding RNA, 301 nt
Filed under: Streptomyces afghaniensis 772
Lineage: Bacteria; Bacillati; Actinomycetota; Actinomycetes; Kitasatosporales; Streptomycetaceae
Description: Bacterial small subunit ribosomal RNA
Rfam family: Bacterial small subunit ribosomal RNA
Source: Rfam by way of RNAcentral